GCGGAUGUGAUGGAAUUGGUAGACAUGCUAGACUUAGGAUCUAGUGCCGCAAGGCGUGGGGGUUCGACUCCCUUCAUCCGCA
This 82-nucleotide transfer RNA is filed under the name Flavobacteriaceae bacterium. RNAcentral describes it as "tRNA-Leu". It matches the Rfam family "tRNA". From Rfam's summary of the family: Transfer RNA (tRNA) molecules are approximately 80 nucleotides in length. Their secondary structure includes four short double-helical elements and three loops (D, anti-codon, and T loops). Further hydrogen bonds mediate the characteristic L-shaped molecular structure. tRNAs have two regions of fundamental functional importance: the anti-codon, which is responsible for specific mRNA codon recognition, and the 3' end, to which the tRNAs corresponding amino acid is attached (by aminoacyl-tRNA synthetases). tRNAs cope with the degeneracy of the genetic code in two manners: having more than one tRNA (with a specific anti-codon) for a particular amino acid; and 'wobble' base-pairing, i.e. permitting non-standard base-pairing at the 3rd anti-codon position. Lineage: Bacteria; Pseudomonadati; Bacteroidota; Flavobacteriia; Flavobacteriales; Flavobacteriaceae. The record is from RNAcentral.